This 82-nucleotide transfer RNA is filed under the name Rivularia sp. PCC 7116. RNAcentral describes it as "tRNA-Leu (CAA) (tRNA-Leu-CAA-1-1)". It matches the Rfam family "tRNA". From Rfam's summary of the family: Transfer RNA (tRNA) molecules are approximately 80 nucleotides in length. Their secondary structure includes four short double-helical elements and three loops (D, anti-codon, and T loops). The record is from Rfam by way of RNAcentral. RNAcentral also lists the same sequence under 5 other names. Lineage: Bacteria; Bacillati; Cyanobacteriota; Cyanophyceae; Nostocales; Rivulariaceae.
GGGCCGGUGGCGGAAUUGGUAGACGCAGCAGACUCAAAAUCUGCCGCCGCAAGGUGUGAGAGUUCGAGUCUCUCCCGGCCCA